CCUACGGGUGGCAGCAGUCGAGAAUCAUUCACAAUGGGGGAAACCCUGAUGGUGCGACGCCGCGUGGGGGAAUGAAGGUCUUCGGAUUGUAAACCCCUGUCAUGUGGGAGCAAAUUAAAAAGAUCGUACCACAAGAGGAAGAGACGGCUAACUCUGUGCCAGCAGCCGCGGUAAUACAGAGGUCUCAAGCGUUGUUCGGAAUCACUGGGCGUAAAGCGUGCGUAGGCUGUUUCGUAAGUCGUGUGUGAAAGUCGCGGGCUCAACCCGCGGACGGCACAUGAUACUGCGAGACUAGAGUAAGGGAGGGGGAACCGGAAUUCUCGGUGUAGCAGUGAAAUGCGUAGAUAUCGAGAGGAACACUCGUGGCGAAGGCGGGUUCCUGGACAUUAACUGACGCUGAGGCACGAAGGCCAGGGGAGCGAAAGGGAUUAGAUACCCUAGUAGUC
RNAcentral lists this ribosomal RNA (446 nucleotides) under uncultured bacterium. RNAcentral's name for it is "partial 16S ribosomal RNA". It matches the Rfam family "Bacterial small subunit ribosomal RNA", at positions 338 to 795 of the family's 1533-position model. The record is from RNAcentral.